This 497-nucleotide ribosomal RNA is filed under the name uncultured bacterium. RNAcentral's name for it is "bacterial SSU rRNA". It matches the Rfam family "Bacterial small subunit ribosomal RNA", at positions 24 to 518 of the family's 1533-position model. The record is from RNAcentral.
UCAGGAUGAACGCUAGCGGCAGGCUUAAUACAUGCAAGUCGAACGGGAUUCAGGUAGCAAUACUUGAUGAGAGUGGCGCACGGGUGCGUAACACGUAUGCAACCUACCUUUAACUGGUGAAUAGCCUCGGGAAAUCGGGAUUAAUACACCAUAACAUUACAAGAGGGCAUCCUCUAAUAAUUAAAGAACUUCGGUUAAAAGAUGGGCAUGCGGGACAUUAGCUAGUUGGUGAGGUAACGGCUCACCAAGGCAACGAUGUCUAGGGGUCCUGAGAGGGUUAUCCCCCACACUGGUACUGAGACACGGACCAGACUCCUACGGGAGGCAGCAGUAAGGAAUAUUGGUCAAUGGGCGCAAGCCUGAACCAGCCAUGCCGCGUGAAGGAAGACGGCGCUAUGCGUUGUAAACUUCUUUUGUCAGGGAAUAAAUGUAGGUACGUGUACUUACUUGAAGGUACCUGAAGAAUAAGCAUCGGCUAACUCCGUGCCAGCCGCGGC